AUGACAUUAAUCAUGUAAGUAUGGAUUCAAAGUAUGGUGUGAAACUCCCGAAGCAGUUGACGGGGUUUGUGCCUGGAAUGUCGGCUAUAUUGGCUGGUCAAACGGCGUAUGAUUUGUAUUACUUUAAUAAGUCGCUUGAGAGGAUGGAGUUUGAGAAGAUGAGAGCUGGGAAGCAUCGAUAGUUUAGAGUUUAUUCGAUGCUUUUGUUAACUGGAGCAAUGUUGUUGACGAUGGUAACUGCCUAUGAUUUUCACAUGGACUUUGAGAAGAAAAGGAAAACUCUCUGUUUUGAGAAUGGUAAACUCUCUCCACUCUUCUUCUUUACUCAUUCUACACUAUGUUGCUUUCAAUCUCCCUUGCUAUCUUUUUCCUACCUCAUUCAAUGGGCAAAUUAGAUUUAUGUCGUGUCAAUGUGACAAUGUGUUUGAUUACUUUGAUUCAUUCAUUCUUAUCCCGUAAUAAUGUAGACGGUUUUACCAAAUAAAAAAUGGUACAUAUCUCUCCCAAAUGCAAUAUAUUCAAAAGCAUCUCAACCGUACACGUGCCGCUUAAACCAUGCAGAUCGCGUGAGAUUAAAACACAUCUCUGAUGAUUGAGUCUCUCAAAAAAAAAAAAUUGCAGAAACAACAAAUCAACCAAAUACAUCGAGGCUGUGAAUUGUAAUGGCCGUCGCUAUUCAAAACUAUGUCAAGUGCCUUGCGGCUUUGACUGGAUUGACCGGGGGCUCUUCCUAUUGGUUUUAUCAUGACAUGAAAUCAAAGUAUGGUGAGAAAUAUCCGGAUACUUUUACGACGUUCAUGACUGGACAUGUGGCAUUUGCGGCUGGAGCCACGGCGCAUCUAUUGUAUGUCAUUAAUAAGAACCUUGCUCUGGUGGGAGACAUGGAUAAGAAGGCGCUUGCGGCGCUAACAAUUAGGAAGUCUCCAACCACAUUUUUAAUGUAUACGGCUGGAAAUGUGAUGUUGGUGGCCUCUCGUCUUAGUUCCUUCGAGAAAGACCUUCUUAAGACGACAACGAAGCUGGAAAAGUCGCAGUCUGAGAUAUUCAUUUUAUUGUUUUUCCAAAUUUUAUUUUCAUUUCCGUGGUUUCCUUUUCAGUUGCUAGGCUAUGAAUAGUUGAUUUGUAAUCGGUUUUCAUUAUUGAAUAAAAUUUACGUUUUCAAGAAA
Salvia splendens (bonfire salvia) is the source of this 1166-nucleotide long non-coding RNA. RefSeq lists it as uncharacterized. Lineage: Eukaryota; Viridiplantae; Streptophyta; Magnoliopsida; Lamiales; Lamiaceae. The record is from RefSeq and is a predicted model, not a curated record. The transcript has 2 exons.